Molecule: ribosomal RNA, 254 nt
Filed under: uncultured bacterium
Lineage: Bacteria
Description: partial 16S ribosomal RNA
Rfam family: Bacterial small subunit ribosomal RNA
Source: RNAcentral
UACGGAGGAUCCAAGCGUUAUCCGGAUUCAUUGGGUUUAAAGGGCGCGUAGGCGGCCACCGCAAGUCGACUGUGAAAUCUCCGGGCUUAACCCGGAAAGGUCAGCCGAUACUGCGGGGCUAGAGUGCAGAAGGGGCAACUGGAAUUCUCGGUGUAGCGGUGAAAUGCGUAGAUAUCGAGAGGAACACCUGCGGCGAAGGCGGGUUGCUGGGCUGACACUGACGCUGAGGCGCGAAAGCUAGGGGAGCGAACGGG